This 87-nucleotide transfer RNA is filed under the name Aspergillus tubingensis. Its description in RNAcentral is "tRNA-Gly". It matches the Rfam family "tRNA". Rfam says of the family: Transfer RNA (tRNA) molecules are approximately 80 nucleotides in length. Their secondary structure includes four short double-helical elements and three loops (D, anti-codon, and T loops). RNAcentral also lists the same sequence under 4 other names. Lineage: Eukaryota; Fungi; Ascomycota; Eurotiomycetes; Eurotiales; Aspergillaceae. The record is from RNAcentral.
GCGUUAGUGGUGUAACGGUAACAUUCAACCCUUCCAUGAUUCGAUUAUCGUGAGGUUGGGCCCUGGGUUCGACUCCCAGCUAACGCA